Molecule: long non-coding RNA, 2204 nt
Organism: Canis lupus familiaris (dog)
Lineage: Eukaryota; Metazoa; Chordata; Mammalia; Carnivora; Canidae
Exons: 3
Source: RefSeq, a predicted model, not a curated record
AAGUUUUUCCCCUAUGUUUUCUUCUAAGAGUUUUGUAAUUUUAUGUCUUGCAUUUAAGUCUUCUAUCCAUUUUUUAUUUUUGUAUAUGGUAUAAGGGUCAAACUCCAUUUUUUGCAUGUAGUUUUACUGACACCAUUUGUUGAAGAGACUGCUUUUUAAGGCAUGUUUGUUUAAGUUUUAAAAACCCUCUCAGAAUUUGACUUUCUAACUUGUCAGAUGCAUGGUUUCAUUCAGCCCCCUGCUGGUUUCUUGGCUCACCUUGGCUUCCAUGCACAGGGCUGUCAUUACUGGGGACCAACGCAUGAGAGGCACUGCUGAGAGGACCAAAGCACAGAACUGGUGCCUUCGUGUAUCUGUAGCAGGAAUUGCAUGGUGCCUGGAAAAUAGAAGAGGAAAUCUUCUUCAGAAGAGGGAAUAUCUUCAGUCCUUCAUGGUCACUGCUUAAGUCCUUAGUGACUAUCUCCAAGGUGUCCUUUGAAGGCAGGUGGCACUGCAGAUUCCAAACUUCGACACUGUGAUGGUUGCUACUACUGGAAGGUCUCAAUGCAUGGAGUCCAGCAUGUUUUACAUCCCGUGCAACCAUUCCUCUGACGUCCUGCUAGAGAAUGAACUCGCAUUCCAACUAUUCUGAGCCUGCUGACCAGCUUCUGUCCAACAUGGGGGACUUUUUCCUUUCCAGAACUCAGAUUUGAGAGGGGAAAGGGUAGAACAAGUUGUUUGCAAAUAACAUGCUUUCUGCACUACAACACACAUCUUCCGUGAAUGCAAAGAUCUAACUUAGGAAACUAGGUGAACAAAUGCAGAUCAUUGCAAAGUGUAAGUCUUUCAACUUACCGAGACAGCUAUUUCCCCAUUUGUAAUAAUUUGUAAUGUUGUGAGGAUUGGUUUAUGAUGAGGGUGUAGCACAGUGAAUAAUAGUAUAUAAUACUGACAAUAGGCUUGUUUUAGCCGCCAAAUUAACAUUCUUCUGUGACCAACACAUGAUCCUUUCGAGGGAAUGCCUCUUCCCCAACUGUUCAAGCCAAAUGAAUCCAAAAAGAGCUGCCACCUUAUGAGAGCCACUUGCCUAGCCACAAUGAUGGGUUGGCUAAAGGAUGGCUAGUGAUUCACUUCCAUGGCCAUAGGACAGAUUGGCCAUGGCUCUAGCCAGAAGUACAGAAUUAUAAACUAUUAAGUACCAUGAAGAAAAAGGACAGAGGAAUCGGACUUUGUCUAAGCAGCUGAGUCUUGUUGGAAAAGUCAUUUUUCCAUUUUGGGCCUAAGGUUUUCCCUUCUGUAAAAUGAGAGGACCCUGGGAGGCUCCAAAAGGGUCACAUCUGGAUUUUGGCAGGCUCCUCUCACCAGUUGCUUCAUUUAGAGUACUUGUUAGCACUUUAGAAGGUGCAGAGAGUGCAGAGUUCAGCUGGAGCUGCUGUACAUACCAAAACACACCUUGCUAGUUUGGUUCCCUAUUUACGUGCCUCUUUGCCAGUUACAUAGCAAAGUAAAGGAAAUUGGAAUCAACUGCUAGUGAGCACUAGCGAAAUUUGAAGGCUGCUAUAAGCUCGUGAUUCUGAAAUCCAAGGUUUUUGAAUUUGUUGGCAAACUCAAUUGUCAGCAGCAGCUGACCUGAAAUGUGUGUGAAUAUGAAUACAUUUUAUGGUGGACAGGUGUUUUUAACCAUAGGUUCUAGACCUGGAUAUGGAUAUUCUUUAAAACAUAGUACCUCUCUAAAAUCUGAACAAUUCUGGCCACAAGAAUUUUGGAUAAGGGACUGUAGACCUGUAUACUACUACUGCUGGAUCUUUAUCUAGUGCUCUGUAGAGAGAUUUCUUAUGUGAUUUUUUUUCUUAAUGUGUGAUUUUUAAAUCCCAACACAACCCUGUGAUACUGACUUAGUUUUAUCUUUUUACAGAUGGGCAGUUCAGGUGUUUAUACUAUGUUCCUAAAUGCAAAUGCCUACUAUAAACACUGGAGGACAAAGGCAGACAGUGACAUAGAGAGGUUAUUAUGCUAUCAGAGAGAAAACUAUACAAAACCAUGCCCUUAUCUACUUCUUUCCACCAAAUGCUUAAAGUACUUUCCUGAUAAAAGUGUUACAGCUUUGUGUACUUCUGAUGUGAAAUGGCUGGCAUUUCCGUCUAAGAGUUAACAAGAACAUUCUAUCCAAGCAUCCCAACUGAUUAAGAAAAUCGAUGCUACUCAAGAAGAAUAAAUUAAUUAAA